This 442-nucleotide ribosomal RNA is filed under the name uncultured Bacteroidota bacterium. RNAcentral's name for it is "bacterial SSU rRNA". It matches the Rfam family "Bacterial small subunit ribosomal RNA", at positions 917 to 1359 of the family's 1533-position model. The record is from RNAcentral. Lineage: Bacteria; Pseudomonadati; Bacteroidota.
GGGCCCGCACAAGCGGAGGAGCAUGUGGUUUAAUUCGAUGAUACGCGAGGAACCUUACCCGGGCUUGAACGUAAGACCGAUAAUGAGGAAACUCAUUAGCCUACGGGGGUCUUGCGAGGUGCUGCAUGGUUGUCGUCAGCUCGUGCCGUGAGGUGUUAGGUUAAGUCCUGCAACGAGCGCAACCCUUACUCAUAGUUGCCAGCACGUGAAGGUGGGGACUCUAUGGGAACUGCCUACGCAAGUAGCGAGGAAGGUGGGGAUGACGUCAAAUCAGCACGGCCCUUAUGUUCGGGGCUACAAACACGUGCUACAAUGGCAUAUACAGAGGGCAGCUACUACGUGAGUAGAUGCAAAUCUAUAAAGUAUGUCUCAGUUCGGAUUGGAGUCUGUAACUCGACUCUAUGAAGUUGGAUUCGCUAGUAAUCGCGCAUCAGCCAUGGCG